Molecule: long non-coding RNA, 2682 nt
Organism: Homo sapiens (human)
Lineage: Eukaryota; Metazoa; Chordata; Mammalia; Primates; Hominidae
Source: Ensembl
GUGGUGGCAUUCGCGUCUGCGAGCUCCGGAGUGACUUUCCCUUCCUGUGAAGGCAAUCCGGCCCUUUCCGGUGGAGGACCCUUCCCCCUGGGUUGAUCUUGAGGAACUUAAGAGACGGUGUUUUGACUCGACUCCUUUCCCCUUUUUCCUCCCGGUACCAAAGCGGUUUUGUUUGCUGUUUAUACUCUACCCCGUGGAAAGGCGGCUAGCUGGCUAAAGGGUUUUAUGCCUGGGGGAGGAUGAGUCGCUAUUUGGUCGUGACUUGUUUCUGUUUAAAAUUAUUAUUAUUUACCAAAUGAAAAUGUUGUACUUACCAGUCCAAAGUGCGGGGCUUAUAUUGUUAGAAGACCACUUAAAAUGCUCCUGGAUUCUGACAAAUAUUGCAUGAGAAAUUUGCAAUCAGCCGUGAAGCAUGUUUCCCCUUCUGAAAGUUUAACACGUGCCGUAUCUACGGCUGGGAUCUAACACAUCCCAUUCCUACAGGGUAAUUUCCUAUUGUGUUUUCAAAUACUACUAAAGUACUUUAACCAAGAGUUUUCAAUAAUCUUUAUGUAUUAUUGCCUAUCUCUAUGCAAGGUAUCAAUAGUUUUCUACAGGUUCGGGACUACACUGUUUAAUAUAUAACCCCAACCCUUGGUACCGCACUGACCUUCAGUAUUUGGUUGCUGAAAUCUUCAAUGAUGAAAGGGGUUGGUAUGAUAAUUGACACAGAUUAGUAAACCGGGUCCUUUUCUUCCCUACUUUCCCGUAACAUCCUGUCCCCACCCCACUCCCUCACCUAAACCUGAUGAGACCAGAAAUGCAUUUUAAGUUGCAUGUAUUAUUUACAUUGAAAUAUUACAAUUUGAAGGUUCAUCUAAAUUUAAGGCUAUAUUCUUGGGAAUUGGGUUUCCUCACUCAGCUCUGCCACUGACCACAGUGGGCCUUGAAUUUCUAAGUUGACAUAAACUUAGCCUAGGUUGAUUAGCUCUCACUUGUAAUUUUUUUUUUUCCUCAGAAAGCAAUAACCACAGGAGGUAAUUGUGAAGUGAUAGGCUUAUCUUUGGUUGUUAUUGCCAUGGAACUUGACAAAACAAAUAUGAAUAAUUGAUACAACAAAAUGAUAUAAAAAGAUACAUGAGACCUAGACAACUCAUUGCAAGUAGUUUAGCAAAAUACCAGACUGAAUAAUUUUAUAGUUGAAGUAUAAUGUACAGGUUGAGUAUUCUUUAUCCAAAGUGCUUGGGACCAGAAAUGUUUUGGAUUUUGGACUUUUUCAGAUUUUGGAAUAUUUGCAUAUACAUAAUGAGAUAUUUCAGCUAUAGGACCCAAGUCUAAAUUUGAAUUUCAUUUGUUCCAUUUAUACCUUAUACACAUAGACUGAAGAUAAUUUUAUAUAAUAUUUUCAAUAACUUUGUGCACGAAACAAAGUCUUGACUGCCUUUUGACUGUGAUCCUCCACUUGAGGUCAGAUGUGGAAUUUUCCAUUUGUGGCAUCAUGUUGACACUCAAAAAUUUUGGAUUUUGGAGCAUUUUGAAUUUUGGAUUUUUAGAUUAGGGAUGUUUGACCUGUAUGUAACAGUUAACACUUAACAAGCCAUUAUCAUGUCCUCAGCACUUUUACGUGCUUACCUCAUUUAAUCUUUACAAUGACCCUAGGAGAUAGGUUCAAUUGUUAUUCUCAUUUUACAAAUGAUAAAAAUGACUAUGAAUUUGGUCCACUCACAGCCUGUGAACCUCAUUCCUCACCUGUAAAAUGUGAAUAAUAAAUAGUAUUUGCCAUGUCUACUUCAAGGAAUUGUUAUAAAAUUCGUGUGAAAAUGUAUUUGUGUACUCUUUCAAAAUUUAUGUGGCAGUUAUUCCAUGAUCACCUCUGUAUCAGUCAGUUCAAUUAUUAAUGAUAACAGGAAAUUGGAAUAAUGAGGGCUUAGCUAGCAAGAAGUAAAGAGAACUCUAAAUACUACAGAUGUAGCAGGUAUAUAAUAGUAGAUAUGAUAGCCACUACCCCUGGAACUGAGAUAAAGCAUUCUCUUCCCUUAGCUGAGAUCCAGACCUUCUUAGAGAGAACACAGCCAGUGGAGAGUCACUCUAUGGCAGGAAAUAUUCUGUAUUGCCUUACAGGCAGAACUUGCUGAAACUCCAACCUCUGGAAAUUACUGGAACCCUGCAUUCUAGAACUUGCUGGAAACCCACCCUCUGGAAUUGGCCUGCUAGAGUGCCUGAGAAGGAUGUUCAUAGGGAAAUGUUUCAGCAGAGGAACUCUACUACAAAAACCACAAGAGGGAGGGUGCCAGGGGAAGUGGCCUGGUGCUAUUGAAACUGCAACACAGAAGCCAGCCACUGGAGAGAGCUGCACAAGCUGCAGGAACACCCUACCCAGUAAGCCGGCCAGAAGGAGGGAGCAAAACCUUUUCUCUCUGCAACAUCUUUCCAGUUUCCUCUACUGGAAAAGCUUCAUUGCCAGCUGACAAAAGGAAAAAUACUUAAAUGGAUCAGAUCCAUUUUCACAGAGCAGUCAAUAAUGGUGAAUUUGGAGAUGAUAAGCAACAAAUUGAUGAACUGGCACAACUUCCCUGCUACUUUCUUGAUUGUAAUGCCUAGAUAGGGAAUAGGAAAGUUAUUGAAAUGUAUGUGUUCCCAUGAAAUGUGUUUAUUUGUUGUUCAAGAUCAAUACUAAUAAAUGGGGACUAAUGUUCUGAAGUA